AGGACGAACGCUGGCGGCGUGCUUAACACAUGCAAGUCGAGCGGUAAGGCCUUUCGGGGUACACGAGCGGCGAACGGGUGAGUAACACGUGGGUGAUCUGCCCUGCACUCUGGGAUAAGCCUGGGAAACUGGGUCUAAUACCGGAUAUGACCUGCUCUCGCAUGGGGGGUGGGUGGAAAGAUUUAUCGGUGCAGGAUGGGCCCGCGGCCUAUCAGCUUGUUGGUGGGUAAUGGCCUACCAAGGCGACG
This 248-nucleotide ribosomal RNA is filed under the name uncultured soil bacterium. RNAcentral describes it as "partial 16S ribosomal RNA". It matches the Rfam family "Bacterial small subunit ribosomal RNA", at positions 26 to 278 of the family's 1533-position model. The record is from RNAcentral.